GACGAACGCUGGCGGCGUGCUUAACACAUGCAAGUCGAACGAGAGCGUAGAGAGAGCUUGCUUUUUCUACAAUCUAGUGGCGAACGGGUGAGUAACGCGUAAACAACCUGCCCUACGGAUGGGGACAAGAGCGGGAACCGGCGGCUAAUACCGAAUCCGUUCAGAAAGUCGCACGACUAUCGGUAGAAAGGAUGGCGUCUAUAUAUGAGGUAUCGCCGGUGGAGGGGUGGGCGGCUGAUGAGCUAGUUGGGGGGGUAACGGCCCACCAAGGCGACGAUCAGGAGCCGGUCUGGGAGGAUGGACCGCCCCCUCUGGACUGAGACCCGGGCCCGGCCUCUUCCGGAGGCCGCAGGUGGGGAUCUUUCGAAAUGGGCGGAAGCCUUACUGCGCCACGCCGCGUGAGUGAAGGCGGGCCUUGGGUUUGUAAGCUCCUUUUUUCGGGACAAAUAAUCUUGUGGUUAAUACCCCUGUGAAGUGACGGUACCGUAAGAGAAAGCCACGGCUAACUACGUG
This 513-nucleotide ribosomal RNA is filed under the name uncultured bacterium. Its description in RNAcentral is "partial 16S ribosomal RNA". It matches the Rfam family "Bacterial small subunit ribosomal RNA", at positions 28 to 507 of the family's 1533-position model. The record is from RNAcentral.